UGGAAUUAGUGAAUACACUAAAUAUUGAUAUUUGUUUUUUUUCACAAUCAUUUUGGAGUGUUAUGAUGUCUCUAAGUGUUUCAGAGAAGAUGAAAAUUAUUUCCGAUUUCAGAUAUAAUGAU
Molecule: regulatory RNA element, 122 nt
Rfam family: Ribosomal S15 leader
About the family: The E. coli Ribosomal S15 gene 5' UTR can form two alternative structures.
Source: Rfam